Molecule: ribosomal RNA, 406 nt
Filed under: uncultured bacterium
Lineage: Bacteria
Description: partial 16S ribosomal RNA
Rfam family: Bacterial small subunit ribosomal RNA
Source: RNAcentral
AUUGAACGCUGGCGGCAGGCCUAACACAUGCAAGUCGAACGCGUGGCGGACGGGUGAGUAAUGUCUGGGAAACUGCCUGAUGGAGGGGGAUAACUACUGGAAACGGUAGCUAAUACCGCAUACCAUCGGAUGUGCCCAGAUGGGAUUAGCUAGUAGGUGGGGUAAAGGCUCACCUAGGCCACGAUCCCUAGCUGGUCUGAGAGGAUGACCAGCCAAACUGGAACGGAGACAAGGCCCAGACUCCUACGGGAGGCAGCAGUGGGGAAUAUUGGAAAAUGGGCGAAAGCCUGAUGCAGCCAUGCCGCGUGUAUGAAGAAGGCCUGCGGGUUGUAAAGUACUUUCAGCGGGGAGGCGUUACCCGCAGAAGAAGCACCGGCUAACUCCGUGCCAGCAGCCGCGGUAAUUC